Molecule: ribosomal RNA, 791 nt
Filed under: uncultured bacterium
Lineage: Bacteria
Description: bacterial SSU rRNA
Rfam family: Bacterial small subunit ribosomal RNA
Source: RNAcentral
GGUAGAAGGAGCUUGCUCCUUUGAGACCGGCGCACGGGUGCGUAACGCGUAUGCAAUCUACCUUUCACAGAGGGAUAGCCCAGAGAAAUUUGGAUUAAUACCUCAUAGUAUAGCAGUUUCGCAUGAAACCACUAUUAAAGUCACAACGGUGAAAGAUGAGCAUGCGUCCCAUUAGCUAGUUGGUAAGGUAACGGCUUACCAAGGCAACGAUGGGUAGGGGUCCUGAGAGGGAGAUCCCCCACACUGGUACUGAGACACGGACCAGACUCCUACGGGAGGCAGCAGUGAGGAAUAUUGGACAAUGGGCGCAAGCCUGAUCCAGCCAUGCCGCGUGCAGGAUGACGGUCCUAUGGAUUGUAAACUGCUUUUGUACAGGAAGAAACACCUCUACGUGUAGAGACUUGACGGUACUGUAAGAAUAAGGAUCGGCUAACUCCGUGCCAGCAGCCGCGGUAAUACGGAGGAUCCAAGCGUUAUCCGGAAUCAUUGGGUUUAAAGGGUCCGUAGGCGGUUUAGUAAGUCAGUGGUGAAAGCCCAUCGCUCAACGGUGGAACGGCCAUUGAUACUGCUAGACUUGAAUUAUUAGGAAGUAACUAGAAUAUGUAGUGUAGCGGUGAAAUGCUUAGAGAUUACAUGGAAUACCAAUUGCGAAGGCAGGUUACUACUAAUUGAUUGACGCUGAUGGACGAAAGCGUGGGUAGCGAACAGGAUUAGAUACCCUGGUAGUCCACGCCGUAAACGAUGGAUACUAGCUGUUGGGCGCAAGUUCAGUGGCUAAGCGAAAGUGAUAA